GAUGAACGCUGGCGGCGUGCCUAAUACAUGCAAGUCGAGCGAAUGGAUUAAGAGCUUGCUCUUAUGAAGUUAGCGGCGGACGGGUGAGUAACACGUGGGUAACCUGCCCAUAAGACUGGGAUAACUCCGGGAAACCGGGGCUAAUACCGGAUAACAUUUUGAACCGCAUGGUUCGAAAUUGAAAGGCGGCUUCGGCUGUCACUUAUGGAUGGACCCGCGUCGCAUUAACUAGUUGGUGAGGUAACGGCUCACCAAGGCAACGAUGCGUAGCCGACCUGAGAGGGUGAUCGGCCACACUGGGACUGAGACACGGCCCAGACUCCGACGGGAGGCAGCAGUAGGGAAUCUUCCGCGAUGGACGAAAGUCUGACGGAGCAACGACGCGUGAGUGAUGAAGGCUUUCGGGUCGUAAAACUCUGUUGUUAGGGAAGAACAAGUGCUAGUUGAAUAAGCUGGCACCUUGACGGUACCUAACCAGAAAGCCACGGCUAACUACGUGCCAGCCGCCGCGGUAA
RNAcentral lists this ribosomal RNA (515 nucleotides) under uncultured bacterium. RNAcentral describes it as "partial 16S ribosomal RNA". It matches the Rfam family "Bacterial small subunit ribosomal RNA", at positions 28 to 523 of the family's 1533-position model. The record is from RNAcentral.